GGGAGUGUAGCUUAGAGACAGAGCACAUGCUUAGCAUGUACAAGGUCCUGGGUUCAAUCCCCAGCACCA
Molecule: transfer RNA, 69 nt
Filed under: Ictidomys tridecemlineatus (thirteen-lined ground squirrel)
Lineage: Eukaryota; Metazoa; Chordata; Mammalia; Rodentia; Sciuridae
Description: Spermophilus tridecemlineatus (thirteen-lined ground squirrel) tRNA
Rfam family: tRNA
About the family: Transfer RNA (tRNA) molecules are approximately 80 nucleotides in length.
Source: Rfam by way of RNAcentral